UGAGGAAGCAAGUGCUCUCUUCGCACCAAGUCUCGUGCUUCGUAAAAAUAGGAGAGUGUAUGAAUAAAAACCUGACCAGCAUCAGAUCGGUCAAGCUGGUUAUAAAUGACCUCAUGAAACUCGCAGGGUUCGUUCCGCAAACCCGUAACGGUCCUUAGAAACAGCAAGAAACAAUGGCUGCAGGGAUGCCUUAGAGGAAUAAACAGGUCAUGACAUUGUC
This 220-nucleotide long non-coding RNA is filed under the name Dermacentor andersoni. RNAcentral's name for it is "uncharacterized LOC126524528". The record is from RNAcentral. Lineage: Eukaryota; Metazoa; Arthropoda; Arachnida; Ixodida; Ixodidae.